UGCCUAGAUGUCUAAGAGUUACCUUGAGACCAUGAGGAUAAGAACUGCACACUAAGAAUGGGGGAAAAGAAAGACAAAAUGAUCCUGGGACAAUGAUGCUAUUUGAAGCCACUGCAAUAGCCCUGACCAUCUAAUAUUGUUUAUAGAAGAUAUUUUUCCAAUGCUGAAAUUCCAUGCAGGUUCUUGCAAUUCAGUGACAAAGAUGGCCAGCAACAACACCAGGCUUACAUUUUAUUUCUUCAGCAACCUCCAAAGAAAGAGAGCUUCUCUUUAUAAAAGGAUAUCACAAAGUCCUGGGAUUGUAUUUCACUGAAGAAACUGAAAUCAUAUGCCCACUCCCAGGAAAAAAUGAAGAUCAAAAAGGAAACCCCAUCCAAACCACAUGGACUUAAAUAGGAAAAAAGUGGUUUCCCAAAAGAAAAAUCUAUUUGCCAUUAUAAGAAGAAAGGGAAACAGCAUCUGGCCAGGCAAAAAACAAGAGACAGCCACUAAAGGCUCUAUGUAUAAAGAGAAAACAGCCACGUUUUCUGUCCUCAAGAUCUGAACUGGUGAAGAACCCAGACAACUAAAUUAACAACCUGAUGCAGUGCAAUAGGAACUCGACAAAGUUCAGAGGAUAUGGUGCAAGUAGGUGGAAGGGAAUGUGACUCACACUGGGUGAGGGACACAGGGAAGGUCUCCUAGAGACUUGUUUUUCUAUACUGUUGUUUAACAUUCUAUAAUUCUUUCUUGCUCCCCAAUAAGACUAUAAACUCCUUG
Long non-coding RNA from Choloepus didactylus (southern two-toed sloth), 759 nucleotides. RefSeq lists it as uncharacterized. The transcript is spliced from 3 exons. The record is from RefSeq and is a predicted model, not a curated record. NCBI's taxonomy places the organism in Eukaryota, Metazoa, Chordata, Mammalia, Pilosa, Megalonychidae.